UAAGGAAUAUUGGACAAUGGAGGCAACUCUGAUCCAGCCAUGCCGCGUGAAGGAAUAAGGCCCUAUGGGUUGUAAACUUCUUUUAGACGGGACAAAACCCCUUUACGUGUAAAGGGUUGACGGUACUGUCAGAAUAAGCAUCGGCUAACUUCGUGCCAGCAGCCGCGGUAAUACGAAGGAUGCAAGCGUUAUCCGGAAUUAUUGGGUUUAAAGGGUGCGUAGGCGGACUAAUAAGUCAGUGGUGAAAGCCUGCAGCUUAACUGCAGAAUUGCCAUUGAUACUGUUAGUCUUGAGUACAGUUGAGGUAGGCGGAAUGUGUCAUGUAGCGGUGAAAUGCUUAGAUAUGACACAGAACACCGAUUGCGAAGGCAGCUUGCUAAGCUGUAACUGACGCUGAGGCACGAAAGCGUGGGGAGCAAACA
This 422-nucleotide ribosomal RNA is filed under the name uncultured bacterium. Its description in RNAcentral is "bacterial SSU rRNA". It matches the Rfam family "Bacterial small subunit ribosomal RNA", at positions 355 to 774 of the family's 1533-position model. The record is from RNAcentral.